RNAcentral lists this long non-coding RNA (3301 nucleotides) under Sus scrofa (pig). RNAcentral's name for it is "lncRNA (ENSSSCG00000053373.1)". Lineage: Eukaryota; Metazoa; Chordata; Mammalia; Artiodactyla; Suidae. The record is from RNAcentral.
UUGCGUCUCAUACACAUAAAUGUGUGGGAUUUGGCAGUAAGUGGAAGAAAUGACAGGAGUUUUCUUGUGGCCCAGUGGUUCAAGUCACUGCUGUGGUACAGGUUCAAUCCCUGGCCCACAAACUUCCACAUGCCACAGGCAUGGCAAAAAAAACAAAAUAACUUCAAGUAUUUUCUGUAUCUUCAAGUAUUUUUUUUUCAUCAAAAAUAAUGAUGUCUUUCCUAAUUAAUGUAGUUAUCCUUCAGUCAGCCUCACCAAGUUUUAGGGGGGCAAAAUCAUGUCACUGGACCACAGCUAUUCCAAUUAAAAAGCAAAAUUCAUCAGGAGCUCUUUCAAAAGCCACAUUUUGCUCUCUCACUGGGAUUCCUAUUGUUGAAAAGUUGUUUUGAAAGUGAUUCUUUAAUUAGAAGAAAUUCCAGCCCUCACAAAAUUGGGAGCAACAUCAUUUACAUUAUUUACAUUACAAACACCAUUUGCAUUUAUACAGAUUUGGUUACUUGUGAAUAGUUGUUUUAACACCCAUCUGGGACUUAAUUGUUAAGGCUUCCCUUGUCAGAUCACCAAAGAAAGAGAUUUAGGUGUAUUGCGCACAGACCUUGUGCUAUGAAUUACAUGGGCUUACUCACUCCUCUCCCUUCUCUGUGAGGCAUGUAAGGUAAUCACACUGAAGGUAACCAGUCUCCUGAGGGCAGAAGUCAUAGGCAAGGCCAUGUUCUCAAGAGUGCUAGAAAACAGAUUUCAAAUUAGCCUCAUUUCCUAUCAAAGUGAAAGAUGAUGCCUCAUUCCUACACUGCCCCCAGAAAUGCUUUGGAAGACAGAGUGGGGGUGGAGGGGAGAUAUGAGAUGAGAUCAAGAUCUGCUAUAGACAAAUUCCGAAGUAAACAAAGUUUCCCCCUGACUGGCAGAGCUCUGAGUAUUUAGUUCCGCCCUCCUUUUCUCCCCUCACCUAAUCAUCACCCUACAGAUUUACAAUCACUUCAGUUGGAAUUAACAGAAAUUCCAGCUCAAAAUGGUUUAGUAGAGGAAACUUUUUAGAUCAAUUCCUGGAAAAUCCAGAAAUAGAGCAGGUUUUAAAUCAUCUCUCUCUUAGGCCCACACAAGGGGAUUGGGACCUAUUUGGCCUUUCGCUUUCUUUUUCGUCAUCUAAGUUAUCUCCAUUCUUAGAGUGGCCCUUCCCCAUACAGCUCCCAAGGAUAAACACUUUCUAAUUCACAUCUAAGGAGAAAUGCGUUAGAAGCUGAGAUAAGAUAGUGACAGGGAAAUAUGACCAGAAUAACAUAGAAAGAUCCAAAAUCUGCCUUGGCUUAGUAGGCACUGUUCCUCAUCCUCCUCACCACCACCCAACUCUCACCCCCAGCUUUGUGUUUUCCUAUGGGACAUGCACGUGAUAGACAAUAGGAACUAGGAAAUAAAACUCUACUUUAUCAUUUGCUGGGUUCAUACUACCCAUAAGCAGAAUUCUCUGGUAAAUUCAACAAGAGCCCUUGGUGAAGGCUUUAGCCUUCAGGACAGUCUGUCUUUUCCAGCCACCAGGUUAAAUGUAAUGAGAAUUCCCAAUUACUUAAAUGCUUCUGGGCAAAGAGGAGAGAGAGCCUACCCAGCUGGCAGCAUGGUGAUAGAAGAGGAAGAGAAAACAAAUCUAGAGCAAAUUUCUUAUUCUAAACAUACUCCAAUGGAGGAAGCCAUGCCCAUGUGUGGGACUUCUCCCACCAGAAAAUGUGGCUCCAUCAGUGUCCAGAAAUCUGAGCAAGUCGUUUCAGUAUUACUUCCUCUUAGAAAGGAAAAUACACUAUCAGUAGGCAUAGCCUCCAAGGCUCAGAAGGGAGAUUUCUUCCUAGAAGGAACAUUCUAGCUUCUUAGGUGGGAUGAGUUGAUGUUUCUUAUGUUACAGCUAGGACAGGAAAGGCAAUUUAAGGACUAGCUGGGGACACUGCUUUGCAUCACCAUUCUGGGGAAACGUUACCUUGAGCAGCAGUCAAUUCUAUUUGAUACUUCCAAAGUAAAGUGACAAACUCCACACAGAUUUGGGGUACAGAAAUUAGUUGAAAAAUAUCUGCAAGAUAAGCCUGUUCACACGCAGGUUUUUCAGCACUUAGAGACUAUCACCUGUUGGGAACUUCUAAGCAAAUCACCUUCCUUCCCUCUGCUUUAGUUUUCUCAUUUACAGAUUGAGAGAAGAUGAGGACUGGCUAUAGCCUAGGAAUUCUCAAAUAUUGGAAAAAAAUGAUAUUCAUAUGUAAGUGUGGAUUUAGUGUUGUUUGCUAUAAAAUAACACUUAUUCGUACACUAUCUUGUUUUAUAAUAGAUGUAAGGCUAUUAUAACUGUUUAAGCUCAGUAAAUAAGACACUGUGCCUUAAACUUGUACACAGCAGUUUAUGUUCAGAAGAUCCUGGGUAAACUUUAGUUACAGUACCAGACAGGAAGAAGUCAUUCUCACUCAAUGGUAGAGUAAAGAAAUAAGAUCCCGGUCACCAACUUAGGUAGGCAAAUUAUUCCUAUACUGGUGUGAAGUAAUAUACCCAAACAACAAAGGUAGGUUCCAAAAAUUAAUGUAUGUGCAUCUAUAGAAAUAUUCUAUUAAUAUUAUGCCCAGUGUAGCUUUCAGCCUCCCAUGUAUGUGAAAAUGUUCCUUCUUGCUCAUUUUCUCUUUCCUCAGAGUGUAUUACUCUACUGCUCCUCACCAUAAGCUAAGUAUUGAAUAUGUCCUUGAUGCAAGUGUUUUUCCAUUAUUAGUAUUUUUUAAAAUAAACCAUGUGAUGUAGUGAAACAAGCAUGAGAUCAAAAGAACUAAGUUCAGGGAUCAAUUCUUCUACUUCAUAGGUGUGUGACCUAGGCAAAUCACUUCUCUAAAUAUAAAAUAAAGAGAAUUAUUACAUUUACUUUACAAAAUUAGUGCGGAAAUUAUUCUUUAUUGACACUUUAUAUUCUUCAGAGAUGAGUUAAGACAGCCGCCAUGAGUAUACAAGAAUAUAAAAUGACCCCCAAAAUGGGACUAAGGGAAAAUCAAGACUCUGGAUAUAAAAUGGAAUUGAGGGGGUUCCCAUUGUGACUCAGCAGAAAUGAAUCUGAUUAGCAUCCAUGAGGACGCAGGCCUGAUCCCUGGCCUUGCUCAGUGGAUCAAGGAUCCAGCAUUGUCAUGAGCUGUGGUUAUACACGUGGCUUGGAUCUAGGGUUGCUAUUACUGUGACUGUAGGCUGUGGCUAUACCUCUGAUUCAACCCCUAGGCUGGGGACCUCCAUAUGCUGCAGGUUGCAACUGAUAAGGGCUUAAUCUCUAAAAUAUACAAACAAUUUAUACAUC